Peromyscus eremicus (cactus mouse) is the source of this 224-nucleotide long non-coding RNA. RefSeq lists it as uncharacterized. The record is from RefSeq and is a predicted model, not a curated record. NCBI's taxonomy places the organism in Eukaryota, Metazoa, Chordata, Mammalia, Rodentia, Cricetidae. The transcript is spliced from 2 exons.
CUUCCUGUUGUCUGCACAAGAUGUAGAACUCUCCAGCACCAUGUCUGACUGCACACUGCCAUGUCCCACUAUGAUGAAAAUGAACUGAAUCUCUGAACUAUGCCAGUUCCAGAGAGUAUGGAAUGUAUGCUGUCUCCUUCACUGAUGUAUAGUGUCUAGAAUGGAACCUGGCCUUUACAAAGCAGUCAAACAAUUGUGUUACUGAAUAAAUUAAUGAAUUAUUA